CCUAAGGGGAAGAGAAGCUGGAAAAAACGGGAGCCAGAGCAGAAGUAAUUAUUAAGGUUGAAAUUAUUCAGAAAACGAAUUAUAUUCCUUAAGUUGAACCACAUUGAAGAUGAGAUGACGUUUGUUGUAAAACAAAAUUAUCUGGUGGAUUACAGUGGAUAAAAAAGGACAAAAAAACAGUCUGGCUAUCUGCAAUAGCAGUGGAUGUUACCUCACAUACUGGUUUUUUUGAGGCUUCUUCUGAUCCUGGAUUCCUGGUGUUCCUCCAACUGAAGGUGGAUUCCUCUCUGUUCGCCUUGGUGUCUGGUUCUCUGGUCUUUCCUUCAACUAACAGCGCUGCAACGGUUCCUUUUGGAGUUUGAUAUGGACGCUAAGUAUUGAAGGGGUGGUUAGACAGUUAAAAUAUUUGAGUGCACUCAAGGGUAACAUUUUUUUUCCUUUUUUUUUAACGAUAUUUCCUUCUAUUUUGUUUCAUGAUAUCUAAAAAUUUGUGGCUGAUUUGUCAAAAUAAAUAGUAGUAAUGUAAA
This is a long non-coding RNA of Danio aesculapii, 527 nucleotides long. RefSeq lists it as uncharacterized. The record is from RefSeq and is a predicted model, not a curated record. The transcript is spliced from 3 exons. Lineage: Eukaryota; Metazoa; Chordata; Actinopteri; Cypriniformes; Danionidae.